Molecule: ribosomal RNA, 371 nt
Filed under: uncultured Bacteroidales bacterium
Lineage: Bacteria; Pseudomonadati; Bacteroidota; Bacteroidia; Bacteroidales
Description: bacterial SSU rRNA
Rfam family: Bacterial small subunit ribosomal RNA
Source: RNAcentral
GCUCAGGAUGAACGCUAGCUACAGGCUUAACACAUGCAAGUCGAGGGGUAGCAGGGUAGCAAUACCGCUGACGACUGGCGCACGGGUGAGUAACACGUAUCCAACCUUCCCAUAACUCGGGGAUAGCCUUUCGAAAGAAAGAUUAAUACCCGAUAGUACUUAUAUAAGGCAUCUUAAAUAAGUUAAAGAUUUAUUGGUUAUGGAUGGGGAUGCGUUCCAUUAGAUAGUUGGUGAGGUAACGGCUCACCAAGUCUUCGAUGGAUAGGGGUUCUGAGAGGAAGGUCCCCCACAUUGGUACUGAGACACGGACCAAACUCCUACGGGAGGCAGCAGUGAGGAAUAUUGGUCAAUGGGCGAGAGCCUGAACCAGC